RNAcentral lists this long non-coding RNA (375 nucleotides) under Anas platyrhynchos platyrhynchos (common mallard). Its description in RNAcentral is "lncRNA (ENSAPLG00000030948.1)". The record is from RNAcentral. Lineage: Eukaryota; Metazoa; Chordata; Aves; Anseriformes; Anatidae.
GCUUUGUGGCUAACUCUAAGAGCUAAGAUGCUCAGUUGACACCGAUUCUUGGUCACGUCAUUUGCAGGCUGGAUCUAGCCUGGUUUACAUGAAUGUAAGAGAGGAAUUGUCCCCAGUGAAACACAGGGAAGCAGCAAAAGGUAUGCUUAGACCAACGCCCUGAACUCCACAGAGACACCAUCCCAAAUUAAUUCUCCAGGUUGCAGCUGCAUGAUCUUGCUAAAGAAAGAUUACUGACUCAUGGGAAAGGAGUUCUAGCAAGGCUCAGGGUAGGAGAGCACAUUGUUUAGAAGUGAAGGUAGCAUUAGACUCCCUAAACCAUAUACCUGUGAAGUGGUGUAAUACCACUGCAAAAUGCAACAUUCAAAAACAAAG